GUCCCCGUAGCAUAAGCUGGAUAAUGCACCUUCCUCCUAAGAAGGCGACUGGGUGUUCGAAUCACCCCGGGGACGCCA
This 78-nucleotide transfer RNA is filed under the name Methylomicrobium lacus. RNAcentral's name for it is "tRNA-Arg". It matches the Rfam family "tRNA". From Rfam's summary of the family: Transfer RNA (tRNA) molecules are approximately 80 nucleotides in length. RNAcentral also lists the same sequence under 6 other names. The record is from RNAcentral. Lineage: Bacteria; Pseudomonadati; Pseudomonadota; Gammaproteobacteria; Methylococcales; Methylococcaceae.